CUCAAAGCAGCUACUCAUCUCACUGACCCAAACACAUUCUCACAGAGAAGAGGUGGACAGACUGACAAUUCUGCUGAAAUGAGCAGAAGCUGCUGAGAAUUGUGCUGAUAAGAGGUGAAAAGGCUGAAAAUUUUGCAGAAAAGAGGUGAAUCAGCAGAAUUUCUGCAGAAAAGAGGCAAAGAAGCAGAACGUUGUGCUGAAAAGAGGUGAAUGAGCAGAAUUUCUGCUGAAAAGAGGCAGAACAACCUGGUUCUGCUCAAAUUCACCAAUCAGAGGUACUGCCUCAGUCUGCUUCAUCAGGCUGUGUACUUGUUUCUGCCAUGGAGCGUUAACAAGAAUCUGAGGUCCAUAUUAGAAAAGCUGCUAAAAUCAUAAAACUUUGCAGAAUUGUAAUAAAUUAGCAAUAUAAAUUACAGGUCUGUGAUAGUGUAUAAAUUUGUAGUGAAAAAAAAAAA
Oreochromis aureus is the source of this 455-nucleotide long non-coding RNA. The record is from Ensembl. NCBI's taxonomy places the organism in Eukaryota, Metazoa, Chordata, Actinopteri, Cichliformes, Cichlidae.